Molecule: unclassified non-coding RNA, 241 nt
Filed under: plant metagenome
Description: partial contains small subunit ribosomal RNA, internal transcribed spacer 1, and 5.8S ribosomal RNA
Source: RNAcentral
UUUCCGUAGGUGAACCUGCGGAAGGAUCAUUCACAAUAUGUGUUUUAUGGCACUGUUUAAACAAUACAUUUCCAACUUGUGUGCAAGGUUAUGAGACCCUCUAUGGUUAUCUUUUAGGUUACGGAAGGGGGAACGUCUACAACUUACCAACAACAGUAUUAACCUAUUUGUCUGAACAUAUGUUAUCUCGAAUUAACUUAAUUCGAUAAUACAACUUUCAACAACGGAUCUCUUGGCUCUC